This is a long non-coding RNA of Raphanus sativus (radish), 2578 nucleotides long. RefSeq lists it as uncharacterized. NCBI's taxonomy places the organism in Eukaryota, Viridiplantae, Streptophyta, Magnoliopsida, Brassicales, Brassicaceae. The transcript is spliced from 4 exons. The record is from RefSeq and is a predicted model, not a curated record.
CUUUUUUCUCAUUUUCAUAGUUCCUCAUUUCUUAGGGCUUUCGCCGAAUAAAAUGUCUUCCCCGAAAUUUCUGGAGAUAAACUCUUCCGUCAAAGAUUUUUACAAGCAGAGAAGUUCACGACAUUAUGAUCCCGGAAAGCGUUUGAAUCGGAGUGGAAUGAUCAUCAAGUAGUAGAUAUGGAGAAAUCAUCAUUGACAGAUUGAAGAUAAGCGUGAAUCUUUGAGUUGAACGGCUUAAGAAGUGGAAACAUAAAACAGAUAAGUUCUCCUACUUCUUUAUGUCUUUAUGUUUUUGUUUUUUUAGUUUUAUCAAACUCCAAAAAGAUCAUAGGCAGACACUUAUCUAAUAGUAUUUCUGCCAGAUUCUUAUUUUGGGGAACAUUGUCCUGAAUCCCUGUUGCAGUGAAAGCUUAGUCCCAAAGAAAAUUUAAAUCCAUCUCCCUAGAUACUGUUGGUUGGUAGUGCAUGAAUGUCUUAAGAUAUGUUUGGGGAUGGAAAGUAAAACACACCUUAGUACCCACAGCUUUAACAAAACAACCAUCGGCUUAAAAGAAAUGUAUUUAGACAGAAAACGGCUAUGUCUAUAGCUAUGAAAAUUGAUGGAUGGAUAAACGACCAUCAGCUUACAAAAUAGUCUUAAGACAAAGGCUAUGCUAUGAGAGUUGGUUUUGUACUUGUUGGAUGGAAAAUAACGACCACAAGUCAUGAAAACUAAGUGUCCCGAGUCCCUGUUGCGUUAAAGCUUAGUCCCAACGGAAUUUUAAAUCCAUCUCCUUAGAAAGUGUUGGUUGGUAGUGAAUGUAUUUGGGGAUGGAAAGUAAACACACACCUUAGUAGUACCCAUGGCUUUACAAAACACAACCAUCGGCUUUAGAAAAAAAAAGAGUUCUUUAGAUAGAAAACGGCUAUUUAUAUAGCUAUGAAAAUUGAUGGAUGGAUAAACGACCAUCAGCUUACAAAAUAGUCUUAAGACAAAGGCUAUGAGUUGGUUUUGUAGUUGUUGGAUGGAAAAUAACACACACCUUAGUAGUACCCACGGCUUUACAAAAUACAACCAUCGGCUUAAGAAAAAAAAAGAGUUCUUUAGACAGAAAAUGGCUAUUUCUAUAGCUAUGAAACUUGAUGGAUGGAUAAACGACCAUCAGCUUACAAAAUAGUCCUAAGACAAAGGCUAUGAGUUGGUUUUGUACUUGUUGGAUGGAAAACAACGACCAUGAGCCAUGAAAACUAACUGUCCGAGUCCCGGUUGCGUGAACUUGUUGGAUGGAAAAUAACGACCACAAGUCAUGAAAACUAAUUGUCCCGAGUCCCGUUGGUAUUGUACGGUUUGAGAGAAGUCUUCAGACAAAGACUCCUAACUCUAAACCAGGUCCAUUGCUUAACCACAGCUCUAUGAGCAAACGAUAUUUAAGGAUGCAAAGUGUGAGAAAAUUUAGUACCAACGGCUUAUUAAAAGACAAGUCUUUAGACAGUGAGGUUGUGAAUGAAAAUGUCUUCAUCACGUACGUUAGUACCCACGGCUUAUGAACAAGCUUUUAGACAGAGUUUGUAAAACUACCAACGGCUUAAAGACAAGCUUUUAGACAGAGAAUGUGAUCGUAAUAAAGUCUUUAGACAGAGACUAUUCAUCACAUUAGUACCCACGGGUUGCAAGAAAGUCUUUUGAUAAAGACAUUGUAAAACUACCACUGGCUUAAAAAAGACAACUGUUUAGACAGAGAAUGUGAUUGUAAAAAAGUCUUCAGACAGAGACUGUAUUCAUCACAUAGUACCCACGGCUUCAAGUGAUUGAAUCUGUUUUUGAAUACAUCAUCGGAUUUGUACCCACGGCUUGCAAAAAAGGUCUUCAAGCAAAGACUGUUUUUGAAUACAUCAUCAGAUUUCUACCCACGGCUUUGAAAAAAAAAGUUAUAGACAAAGGCCAUGAGAUGUCAUAAUGGCUUUAAAGAAUUAUCAACCGUUACUUUCUUUUUUUACUACAAGUUAUCAAUUUUCUCUAUCUCUGAACUUUGUUUUUUCUUUCCAGGUGAAACCGAGUCAUGUUCUUUUAGCUGUCACUCUUAAAACUUCAGUUAUCAAAGUGUUAAGUCAAGGGAUAUCGAUCUUUCAGAGCAUCAAGAUGCUGCUAAAGGUUGCAACAUGGACGACACAUAUGAAGUCGAGAAUCCUUGUAGUGGAGAUGCAGAUUGACAGAAGGGUGCAGCCGAGCCAGCUCCUGCUACAGCAGGUACUUAAGCACCGUUUAGGAGAAACAUACAUGAAGUGAACUAGUUACACUUGUUUAGGUAUGGGCUUCACAAACUGUUCAUAUCCUCAUUGACGCUUGUUGAGGUAUAUGUUUACCUUCACUUUUUCUCUUACAAAUUAAUAUUAUUAUGUAUGACUAUAAACUAAGUUAAGUUAAUUUUGCGUACAGGUCAAGAAAUUGGAAAACUCCAUUUUAAAAUUAUAUAUAUGUUUUAUUAAGCUAGCUUGAAAACGUUUCUCUCACUGAUCUAGCAUCCAUGAGAUUCUAUACACUGACUGCUAACAAAUCCACUGAUGAGCAAGUAGAUUCUUUUUUAAUAUUGGAACAUUA